Molecule: long non-coding RNA, 3221 nt
Organism: Lolium perenne
Lineage: Eukaryota; Viridiplantae; Streptophyta; Magnoliopsida; Poales; Poaceae
Source: RefSeq, a predicted model, not a curated record
UCUCUCUCGCUCCCCAUCUACCGCCCCGAGAUUUCGAUCCCAAAUUGUGCGCCGCCGCCAUCCCUCUGCUCACCAUAGCUGCCGCCAUGGCAGCUCACAUCGCGGUUCUCCCCGUACAACCCCGGGCGACCUGGGCUCCCGCCGCCUCCCGGCUCGAUGCAGAUCCAUACGGCGACGGUCGAGGCUGAAGCCGGCGGUGGUGAUGGAGGACCAACUCCACGGUCACUGCCAUGCCCUAGAGACUCGCCUGUGUACCGCCGCUGUUGCAGUCAGAGCGUGGACCGGCUGCAGCAACGACGAUGCACAAACCGAGGAGCGAGGCGACCUGUACAUGCCCGACCAGGAGGAGCUCGUCCACAACCACCACGGCGCCCACCAAAAGGUUUGCAUGGAAGAGUUAAGAGGAUGAUUUGAGCACAUAGAGCCUCCCCGCUGCAUGGACCAACAAGCAAGAUGUGUGUGGAGCACCCCUGCUCCAGCCUAGCUGAUGACACAAGACUGCUGCUACUCCCUGUCUUCAUUGAGGCUGAAGACGGCGCUGGUGAUGGAGGACCAACUCCACGGUCUCCACCAUGCCCUAGAGGCUCGCCUGUGUACCGCCGCCGCCGUCGGAGCAUGGAGCGGCUGCAACAACGACGACACACAAGACGAGGAGGGGGCGACCUGUACAUGCCCGACCAGGCGGAGCUCCUCCACAACCACCACGGCGCCCACCAAAAGGUUUGCAUGGAAGAGUUAAGAGGAUGAUUUGAGCACAUAGAGCCUCCCCGCUGCAUGGACCAACAACCAAGAUGCGUGUGGAGCACCCCUGCUCCAGCCUAGCUGACGGCGCAAGGCUGCUGCUGCUCGCUGUCUUCAUUGAGUAUGGUUCAGCAUGUACAAAAAAAAGAAUAUGGAGUGCAUGUUUGCACCAAGUGGCAUCUGAACCAACUUACGUUGGUCCACACAAAGGUAUGACACAAGUUCGCCAUUGGGAGUCAAAGACAACAUGAAGAGCUGCUCACCUUGCUGGCAUGUGGCGACCGCAGUGGCACGCUUGCUGGCGCCGCCAUGCAGUGCCCCCUCCACGCUUGCUGGCGACCGUAGAGUUUGAUUUACAAUCCUCCUAAGCGCUGGGUUACAACAAGAUGGAAGCUAACUUAGUGCACAUCCCAGGUGGGUGGCAAGACUACUCGAAGCCCGUAGGCGCCAGCCCUUGCCCAAAGUCUGGCUUUGUCCUUGAUCAUGGAGACCAGGGAGUGGAUAGAAGGCUGGUUUACCUGGGAUAUGCAGUCAUUUCGAUGAUUCCAAAUUAUCCAAGGGGUGAGUAGCACGACAGAGGCGAGGCCUUUGCGAAGCUGCUUGGGGGUUUGUUGUUUGGCCUGCAACCACCUGUCCAUGAGGGUGUCCUCUCCAUUUGGAGCUCUUGCUAUCAUUUUCAGCCAUGCAAGCACUUCAUGCUAGGCAGUCCUGGUGAAAUGGCAUUUGAGCAUCAGGUGGCGCAUUGUUUCAGGGGCCUGGUUGCAGAGAGGUCAUCGUGUGUGAUGUUGCGGGCCGUGUCUUGCGAGGCGUUCCACAGUCACCUGUCCACAUUUGCUAGCUAGUGAAAGAAUUUUACUUGCGGUGGCGCCCAUGUUUUCCAGAUUAACUUCCAGGAGUGGCACAGGAUGGAUCCAUGGAAGGUUGCCAGGUAUGCAGAACGGGCAGAGUAGGUACCACCAUUUGUCCAGUUCCAAAGUCGUUGAGGAUGGUGCUCCGGAUUGCAAGCCAGAUCUGCAAGUAUUGCCCAACCUUAGUGAUGCCAAUGACGCCCUAAAUGUCCCUAGCCCAGCUGUUGCCGUUUAGGCCUAUUGCGACGGUUGUGGCCUUGUGUCUCCACUUGGGGAUGCAGCUGUAGAGUUAUGGCGUCAACUCGCAGACCACACGUCUGUUGAUCCAUGGAUCCUCCCAGAAGAGAGCCUUGCUUCUGUAACCAACUUUCAUGGAUGUCGAGGUGAAGAACAUGUCGCGCUCAUCGGAGGAGAAUUGCAGUUCUAGUCCGAUCCGAGCCCUGUUGGUGUCCGUCCAAGAGUACCAGAGCCAGCUUAGCUUGUGCCUGUCCUGCGCGCUCAAGAUCUUGGACACCCAGGCCUCCAUGGGAGAAAGGGCGGCAGACCCGGUUCCAGUUGACAUGGCAAAGACCUCCAUUGGCGUCUGCACGUCCAGCACAAAGGAAGCCUCUCUAAAUUUUAGUGAUCUACUUGAGGGAUUUUUUUGGUGCUGCAUAGACCAAUAGUUGGUGCAGAGGGAUGGCGCCAAGGACAGACUUGACAAAGGCGAGGCUGCAUGUUUUGUUCAUGAGCUUGGCCUUCCAAGAUGGCAGUUGUCCAGCAAUGCGAUCGACGACAGGCUGCAGUUGUGCAGCUGAUGGUCUUUUGAUUGUGAGAGGAAUGCCCGGGUACUUGAUUGGUGGGUCCACAAUUGGGCAUUGAAGCUGUGCAACAACAGGUACAGCCACCUCAUUAUCGCAGCGUAGCAAAGUAGCCGAGCUUUUUUCCUUAGUUGACCUGGAGGCCUGAAGUGUUGCUGCACACCUGGAGUAUUCCUUUGAUUGUGGCGAUGUCGCUAGGUGAUGGGUGGAAAAAAUAGCAUCACAUUAUCGGCGUGUAGGGAGAUGGCCGGGAUCGCCCUCGAGUGGUGUAGCUGCUGCAAAACCCCAAGUUGGGUAGUGAACUUGUUAAUGUUGUCUACUUUGUCAAUUAGUAUCUAUAAAAGCCCUACCUAAAUCCACAUCUUGUGUGUUGUGACUUUCAGGUAAAGAAUAAAAGUUCAAGAAGAAAAGGCCAGUGAGGUUGCUAGUGCACUACUAAGGCUUGAGAAUAUUGGUUCAGAUAUGAAGAACAUCAAAGAAGUGGUUUGGCUUCUGGUUUCAUCCAUGAGUGUGUACGUCUUGCAUAGCAAAAAUGUCCAGCAGUUGUAGUGGUUGUUGGUGGCGAGCUGGAGAAGACAUGUCCUCCUCCUUGGAGCGGAGGAGGGAGGAUAUGAUGAUGUUGUUCCUAGCUGCUCAAUGUGGUGAUGAAGCCAUGCAUCUGACGCCCUGAUUGGUGCCGUUCAUAUGCUCGAGAAUUGGAGUACUUCACUUCACGUCUUGUGUCUAGGAAUGAAAACCAACUUGUGUAGAAGAUUUUCUUCUCUUGGUCUGCUUGACAAUUCUGCUGGGUGUUAGUUGAUACUACGUGCUACAUGUAUAAUUUUCUUCUUUC